GCAACUCCCAGAAACUUGCAGGAACACUGCAGGAGGAAAACCAGCUACGGCCAGUUCUGCCUCCGGACAUGCGCAUGUAAAUGCCAUUAAUAUAAAAAUCACCUCAACCUCAAACCAUAGCUUGCUGUCCUUAUUACUGAGUUUAUCUCAGAUAAUGUGAGAGGGAGAAAUGGAUUUCUGCAUUUUGGCACCUCCAUCCUCUGAAAUUAGCCAGAGCUUGAGGUCUGGCUUUGUUCCAAUGCUGUCACUGCACUGACAUACCUGAGUGUGCAGGGCUUAGCACCGGCAGGUCUGCAAAUCUGAAUGAUAAGAUUUUUUUUUUAUUUUUUUUUUCAGGGAUCAAAAAAACCAAGCCCAACCUUGCUGAACUGAGUUGAGGAGUUAACAUACAAGGGAGGUAAAUAUAGCACAGCAGCAAAAGUAAGUCAAAUCUACCACUCUGGCAAAUUUGCAUAGUUCUGAAACAUUUUGCUGAAGUUAUAGAGUUUCUUUUCCAUAAUGUCAGAGUGCUCCGGGCUUGCUUAUCAUCAGACUGAAGAUAGCAUGCUUUCAGCAGGCAACUUCACUCCUUGUGUUUUUUUUUCUGGUCUGUGUCUCAUUGGUGUCUGUUCAUCAAUAUCUGGGGCUUGCAGUGGGGUGCUGGACCAUGACCAGGGUUCCUCAGCCCCAUCGUGCUAGUAUUACUUCUAAGUGAAUGAUAUGUCAUCAUGCUAUCAACUGUGGUUGGCAGCCGGUGCAACUUUGUCUACGGGAAGACAGCAGCCUGCGGUCUGCGUUUAGUGUUCUUGUUGCAUUGCUCAUCCUGUUUCCCCACUGCAGUUGUGCCCACUCAUCUCCAGGCUGUCAUGCUAUAGGGCUGCCCUCUCCUCUCUCCAGAGCUGGCUGGGACAUCUCGCUGUUUUCCUUAUCAGAGCCUGACCUCAUGGGGAGCUGGGUAAGGGGGCUGCAGUCUUUGAACAGGGUUUGCUGUGAAACUGUACCCUGAGCCUGUGUCGUAUUUACUCUUCUGUCAGGUUAAUGUUAUUGACAGGGAUACACGCACAAAGGAUGGACCCUCCUGCAGCUGUGCUAGGAGAGGAGCUCGCCCUUGUCUGCUGUCUGGUCUCACAAGAAACAUAUUAAGAAUUCAAGAAGUGGUUUCAAAAAGCAGCACUCUGUACUGAAUUUAAAUGACAACUUUUCAUAUGAAAAAGAAGUGGAAACACAUACCUUGACUGUGAAUUCAGCACUGAACAGAAUAGACUCAUCCCCUUUUGAUGACAUCAUAUUCCUGGAUUUUCUGCCUUGCUAUAUUUUAUUUCAGAAGCAAAGCUUGUCUACUCUAACCAACAUGAGACCACUCUUAUUUGACUAUGGGUGGUAAACUAUACAAAUCAAGUUAAAAUAAAGAUUUGACACAGUGUGUAUAAAACA
This is a long non-coding RNA of Cygnus olor (mute swan), 1413 nucleotides long. RefSeq lists it as uncharacterized. The transcript has 3 exons. Lineage: Eukaryota; Metazoa; Chordata; Aves; Anseriformes; Anatidae. The record is from RefSeq and is a predicted model, not a curated record.